RNAcentral lists this ribosomal RNA (549 nucleotides) under uncultured bacterium. RNAcentral describes it as "bacterial SSU rRNA". It matches the Rfam family "Bacterial small subunit ribosomal RNA", at positions 356 to 896 of the family's 1533-position model. The record is from RNAcentral.
AGGGAAUCUUCGGCAAUGGACGGAAGUCUGACCGAGCAACGCCGCGUGAGUGAAGAAGGUUUUCGGAUCGUAAAGCUCUGUUGUAAGAGAAGAACGAGUGUGAGAGUGGAAAGUUCACACUGCGACGGUAUCUUACCAGAAAGGGACGGCUAACUACGUGCCAGCAGCCGCGGUAAUACGUAGGUCCCGAGCGUUGUCCGGAUUUAUUGGGCGUAAAGCGAGCGCAGGCGGUUAGAUAAGUCUGAAGUUAAAGGCUGUGGCUUAACCAUAGUACGCUUUGGAAACUGUUUAACUUGAGUGCAAGAGGGGAGAGUGGAAUUCCAUGUGUAGCGGUGAAAUGCGUAGAUAUAUGGAGGAACACCGGUGGCGAAAGCGGCUCUCUGGCUUGUAACUGACGCUGAGGCUCGAAAGCGUGGGGAGCAAACAGGAUUAGAUACCCUGGUAGUCCACGCCGUAAACGAUGAGUGCUAGGUGUUAGACCCUUUCCGGGGUUUAGUGCCGUAGCUAACGCAUUAAGCACUCCGCCUGGGGAGUACGACCGCAAGGUUG